UACGUAGGGGGCAAGCGUUAUCCGGAUUUACUGGGUGUAAAGGGUGCGUAGGUGGUAUGGUAAGUUGGAUGUGAAAUUUGGGGGCUCAACCCCUAAGCUGCAUCCAAAACUACUGAACUAGAGUGCAGGAGAGGAAAGCGGAAUUCCGAGUGUAGCGGUGAAAUGCGUAGAUAUUCGGAGGAACACCAGUAGCGAAGGCGGCUUUCUGGACUGUAACUGACACUGAGGCACGAAAGCGUGGGGAGCGAACAGG
RNAcentral lists this ribosomal RNA (253 nucleotides) under uncultured bacterium. Its description in RNAcentral is "partial 16S ribosomal RNA". It matches the Rfam family "Bacterial small subunit ribosomal RNA", at positions 524 to 776 of the family's 1533-position model. The record is from RNAcentral.